CAAGAACAACUGCCACACGCCACCGUGGUCGGCGGUACGUGGAGCAAAGGCACAACUGCUCCGGUGGAAUUUUUCAAUUGAAAUCAGAUUUCCUAAGUUCUUAACAUGUUGGUUUUCCAUUAUGUAUGUGUAGAUUGUCUCCAAAUCAUCCCGUUUAAAAAGUUGAGUUUGUAAUCGGUUUCCGAUUUCUCGAUCAUUCUGAGUUUUCAUCUACUAGUUUUUCACAGAGGUUUUUUCUUUUAUGUGAUGUAGGUCUUGUAUCUGAUUUCUUGUUCAUCCAAUCACAAUACUGUACAUAUUUAAUAUCAAUGGAAUUGUUAUCAGGUUCCACCAUGUAGAUUGGAAAAGAGCACAUGAAGCUACUUCAGAAACAUCUUCUGUUCUUGUAGAUGGAUGAGCCACGUCAAAGGAGAAAUACGUAGGAGGAUGGUGCUCCGUUAUUAUUCCUGUUACAGAGCUGAUGAGUUCCCCACCGACAUCAGGAGGGUGCGACGAUGGAGGUUGUGGAGAGAUGUUAGGGGUGGUGAGGUUUUGAAGACCGAAUACAAAAAGAAGGGGAAGCUGGUGAAGAAAGAGCAUUUUGGUUCCAAUGAUCGACGGCGUAGCAGUGGAGAAGGCAAAGCAUGAAUUCGACGGUAUUUUAGGGGUUGUGUGUGUUUAGAGAGAGAGAGAGAGAGAAAGAGAGAGAGAGGUGGGUCUCAUAUUUUUUAUUAAUAAAACUUUAAAUUAAAUAGAAAUAAACAUAUAAAAUAUAUCAGAAGGGUAUUUUAGUCUUUUUAGUUUAGCGAAAUACCAAAAUCACAAGCAAACUACCUCAAAAGGACCAUCAGUUCAACAAAGUCAUGAUUUGGACUAAAACCCCAAAAAAAUGCAUACCACAGGGACCAUUUUUGCAAUUUUGUCGAUUGGUUAUAAUGAUUUAUGUUUUAUAAAUUUGUAUAAUAUAAUAUUUUAAUGCAUAAAUUAUUUUGUAUAGAGAAAAUUUGUUGUGUACGAAUAACUCUUUUUCUUUUAUUUAUUUUAUUUUUACAUUUUACCAAAUUGACUAACCUAUUAGUGUAUAUGUAUUAUUAUAUGUAGCCCAUUUGUAAUAGUUUAGCCCAUGUUGUUGUUGUAGCCCAAUACUUGUAUUUGUAUUUAUUCUUUUGAGUAAUGAAAAUCACGUAAGGGAAAAGACCAAUCUGUCAUGGUAUCAGAGACUAGUUCCCAGAAAACCUACUUUCCUUCUUCUCCAUCUUCCUCUCGAUCUUACUGUUUUCGGGCCUAAACCUAGCCGCCGACCAACCCACCCUCCAUCUUCUUCUCAAUCUUAACAAUGGUUGGUGAAACCUCCAAUCCCAAAAAUCAGAAAACCUAUGGUGCUCUCAAUAUCAAGACUUAUGUUCCUAUAAUUCUUGAUCUCAAUGAACUCAAUUAUAAUGCAUGGCGGGAAUUAUUUGAAACCCAUUGUCGUGGCUUUGGUGUUCGUGAUUUUCUCACAGGUGAUUCCAAACCCACUUCUGACAAAAGAUGAAGAAUGGUUCACUCUUGAUUCUGUGGUUAAAACGUGGCUCUAUGGCACCCUCACACAAUCCCUUCUCAACAUGAUUCUCACAAAGAACUCCACAUCCCAUACGGUUUGGCUAAGUCUUGAAAAUCUCUUCCGAGAUAACAAGGACGCCAGAGCAAUUGAACUUGACAGUGAACUAAGAAGCAUGACACUAGGCGAUCUUUCCAUUGCUCAAUAUUGCCAACGAAUGAAGUCCAUAUCAGAUCUCUUGGUGAAUAUUGACAACCCUAUACCCGAGAAAACACUCGUUGCUCAUCUUCUCAAUGGUCUCUCUCCUCAAUAUGAACACAUUGCCACCCUCCUACGCCACCGAGAUCCUCUACCCACUUUUCUUCAAGCUCGCUCAAAACUUUUGGUUGAAGAACAAAUGUUCAAGAAUUCUCGCCCUCCUCAAGCAUCCCACUCGGACUACCCAUCAUCCUCAUAUGUUCUACUUGCUGGUAACAACAACCGCAACAGCUCCACCUCAUCCAGUGGAAAUCGCCGCCCCAACCAGCAGCGACGCCAUGGCAGCCACAACACCGAGCAGCAGCAACGCCGCCAGCCUCCUGUUGCGUCUUCUGCAAGUCAUCAGUCACAACAGCUGCCUUGGCAUAUUUAUUCUUUUGAGUAAUGAAAAUCACGUAAGGGAAAAAGACCAAUCUAUCAUAACCUUCUCCCUUCAAAUGGCAUGUCAUGCAUCUCUUGUAUAAAAAUGACGUGUCACUGAUGUGGUUGCCAAAAAACUAAUUUGGCAUUUGUGACAUGCUAUGCACCACUUCAUUCGCCCUGAAGGGAAAUGAAAUGUCUCUGUAGGUUUUUUUUUUAAAAAAAAUAAAGGAAUCAGAGAAAAGAAAAUAUGAAAUUAGUGUUGUUUUUUAAUUAUGAGUAAGGAAAUGAGAAGGAAAUAAAUAAUAUAUAUGUGUGUGUGUGUUUUGGAAACUAUCCGUCUAAAUAUAGUCUAAAUGAGAUGGAUUCUUACUUUUCCAUUCCAUUCUUUUUCCUUUUUUUUUUUCCAUUUCUUCUGUUCCAUUGCUUUUUCUUCACUUGUUUUUUAAAUUGAAAACAAAAAGUAAACGUUCUCAUACAAAAAAAACAUCUUUUUGUAUUUUGCAAAUUAAUUAUUGAAAUUCUUUCAUAUAAUUGUCUAACCUUUUAAAUUAUGUAAUAUGAUGAUUGUCAAAGAUACAUAAACAUCAAGGCGUACAAAGGUGCAUCCCAAUAGAGUCGGCAAGGUAAAGGGUUGACCCUUAUUGGGUAGAGAGUUAUCUCAUGAACAAAAAAUAGGAUCACAGGCUUCACCUAGAUACAUUUUUAGGUCUGAAAUCUCUAUAUGUGUAGAUAACAUGUGUUUGUGAGUCCUAGCGACAUGUUCUUGAAUAACUCUCAUUUCUUUCAAAUGAAGGGGAAAAAAAUAUAAAAAUGUUGAUUUAUUUCCCUCUCUUUUCAACUUAAGAACACAAUAUUAUUUCUAUUUCCCUUUAACUCAAGAACACAACAAAAAUACAUGUAUUUUUUUCCCGUCCAUUACUCUUCUUUCCAUUCAUUUUUAACUCAAAAUAAAGCAUGACAAUAUUAUCAAUAAGCUAUUCCUAAUUUGGUCGUGCACAUAACAUAAUUAUAAUUAAUGAUCAUGUGAACAACAUAAAUUUUUAUGUUUUUUUUUCUCAUACUCUAAAUGUAUGCAUGUUGUGUAGUUUGUUUUUUGUUUUUGUUAAUCACUACCUUAUCAUAAUGAAAUGAUAGCUUAGCUUCUAGUUUAGAAUACACUUUAUAUUUCUAAGAAGAUAACAAAUAGAUUUUUUCUAGAAAGUGUCCUUUCAAAUAAUUGUCCAUUAAGUUUUUUGAUUUUGCAAUAUUUAGGAAGCCAUCAUGUGUUUAUAGAACUCUUUAAUUAAUUUGUAUGGUAAUUUGAGUUCUUAUAAGCACCCGUCGUACAACUUCUAUUUAAAGCAAUAAAACUAUUCUAUUGAGGUCCAUUUUAGCCUCUUUAAUUUGAUUGUGAGUUUGGUUCGAGUUUAGCUUACUUUUUUUUUCAUUGAUCAACAUGAUAAACAAGGGUUUUAAAAUACAUAAUGCUAACAACAAUGAGACAACUAUUGAAUAAUUGAUAGUAUUUUGAAGAAUAAUAUUUUGUUAUGGGUCAUACAAUUUGUCACUUUUUUUGUGGUUUGGGUACCCAAAGAAAUUAAAAACGUAAGAAUGAUCGAUUAUGUCAACAUCAGAAUUUAUAUUUUUUAGGUUUCAAAAAAACUAUAUAUGAGAUAAGCUCUUUAUUCAUCAUCUUGCAUAACCAUACAUGUAAAUCUCUUUUAGUAUCUAUAUGCUUAACGAAAUUGAAGCAAUAUUUUUAGUUUUAAAACUUAGAGGGUAUAAAUGCUUAAGUCUAAAAGUUGUUCAUGCUUAACGAAAUCCAAAACUACCAUUUUGAAAUGAUGUCCACGGAUGUUUAAGACGAAAUAUGGAAGCUUAAGGACUCAAACUGUUAAAUACGUGAAAUAUAGGGACGUCCAAGAUCGGUAUCUUUUUCUUUGCUGAAGCUUGAAGGUGAAAUUCUGUCAGUAAUCUAAACCUUAGGAUCUCACGUAUGACGUGGCAAUACAUGAUUGGAUGACCCGCGUCAUCAGGCCUCCCACUGAAGCAACAAAACGUAAGGGCGGUUCGGUCGAAACGCAAAAAUGGCGAAUUUGAGUCUGACCUCUGCAAUGAAGGGAUGCUCUGUGUUGCUUCUGCUAAUUGCCGCCACACUUGGUGAGUUUCAGUGAAGACUAAUGAAAGCUGUUUCGAAAUGGUUUAGUUCAUUAUUUAUCAUAUUUUAAAUCACUUGUUAUGGUUCGAUUGUGGAAAUCGAAUGACGAGUUGAUCUUCUUCGUAAUAUCUCACAGUUUCGGCAAAGAAGUCCGGUGAUGUCACGGAGUUACAGAUCGGCGUCAAGGUAAAAUUCCGGUAGCUCAGUCUUAUUAUUAUCACCUAUAAUCCCUUGAUCCGGCUUAAGUGUGUGAGAUAACAAUUGUGCAUUAUUUAAUUUAUUUACAAGGAGUUAUGAUUGCACUGCGAAUUAUCCACUUCUGUUUCCCGAUCGUAGUUUAGUCUGCUUAUUAUGUAAAAAUUGGUAGGAUCUGUGUUUUAGUUCAUUCUAUUGCUUUCUCUUCUCUUUGUGGUAGAAAAAGAAAAAGAAAUGCUUAAGAUAUCUUCACGGAAUUGUAGUGAGGUUUUGAGUUGAUCUGCUGUUAGUAUAGUAGCUAAAGAUGUCUUAGCUUUCCCAAUUAGGAGGUGUCUUAUGUGCAAUGCAUUUGAUCUGAUAAUUGGUUACACAGUGAAAGCAUGUAUAUAGAGAGAGUAAUGUAGUUAGCUUAUUGAAUUUGAUUUUCACUUUCAUGUUGAUACUUUCCAUUUCUUAUUCUUUCUUGAUGUUUAAUGAUUUUAAAGAGCUAAAAUCAGCUGUGCUGACCAUCAUUUACAUGAACAGUAUCGACCACCCACCCUGAACCUCCAUUUUUGUUGUUGUUGUUGUUGUUGUUGCAGUUCAAACCAGCAUCUUGUGAAAUCCAAGCACACAAAGGUGAUAGGGUGAAAGUUCAUUAUCGGGUGAGUUAGUUGAUACAUCUACAUAGCUAUUUCCUUUCUUUCUCCAUCCCAUCCCAUCCCAUCCCAUCCCCCCUCUUCUCUGAGUUAUUAUCUCAGUUUUCUGUAUCACUUAAUGAAUGAUUGUAUUUGUAUGUAUAUCUUUGAACAUUCUUUAAGCUCUGGUUUUGCAGGGGAAACUUACUGAUGGAACUGUUUUCGAUUCCAGCUUUGAAAGGGGUGACCCAAUUGAAUUCGAACUUGGUACUGGUCAGGUGAUAAAAGGUAUAAAACCAUAUGAUAUGACCCAAUUUGAUUGUUGUGAAAUUCAAUUCUUAUAGUAUAUAUUAUGGAAGUUAACAAAAAUAGUGUAUUCCAGGAUGGGAUCAGGGACUAUUGGGAAUGUGUGUUGGGGAGAAGCGUAAGUUGAAGAUACCUUCAAAGCUGGGUUAUGGAGACCAGGGUUCACCACCUACUAUCCCAGGUACGUAAUGAGCAUAUUUAUAUUUAUUUUAUAGGGAAAAUGUGUUUUAAUUUAAUGGGGAAAGAUAUUAAUAAAUUGAAGAAAUUAAUUUUUGAUACACAGGUGGGGCUACACUUAUAUUUGAUACGGAGCUUAUUGCUGUCAAUGAUAAAGGAUCAGAUGGAGGAGACACCAAUAACAACAGUGAGCUAUGAGUAUGAUCACAAGAAUCCAGAUCAUGACCUUUUAGUAGGAGGAGAGAAUUCUAGAUUUGAUACUUUAAUUUUGUUCCCUAGUAUCUUCAAAAACAAAACAUACAUGUCUUGUACAAGUAUUUGGGAGUUGGGACACCAUUUUAACUCCUUGUUUCACUUAGGUUGAAGUGACGAGGUUAGAGAACUUAAUAUUGAUAUUUUAAAGCAAUUCAGAAAACUAAACAAAAAGAUGAAAACUAUCACCAUUUUGAUCUUCUUCUCAAACCAAAUAAGUAUUAAUGCAUUCCAAAAACCAAAAUGCUAGUUUACAACUUUUUAUCAAUGUAUUGUAUCGUGAAUACCUACCACAUCAUGUAAUUGUCUUUUUUUUUUUAGUUGCAUAUGAAUUUUUGAUAAGCAUCAUAUUCAAGUGGGUCCAUACCCCACUUGGGCUACGUAGGGCGUGUUUGGCAAAAGUAGUUCUUAGCUGGAAGCGGGUAGCGGUUAGUUGGUAGUGUGUAGCUGGUAGCUGGUAACGGGAAACUGUAGCUUUUAUUUGUUAUAUGAAUGUUUGGUAAAAGUAGCUGGAAGCUUUUGAAAUAUAUAAAAUUACAUAAAAGGACAAUUGACUAAAAAUAAAAAAAUAUAUAAAUAUAUUUUUACGGGUAAUUAUGGAAAUUGAUUUCAAAAGCUCCGGAGCGUUUUGUUAAAAGCUACAUGAAGUAGCUUUUAGAAUCAGAAUCGGAGCGUUUUGUUAAAACUAAGAGCUAAAUGCUCGUACUGCCAAACGAAGCUUUUUGUUUAAACUAGAGCGUUUUGUCAAAAGCUAAAAGCUAGAAGCUCCCAAACGCUUCCAAAAGCUUCGUGCCAAACACGCCCAUAGUGUCGUUAAAUUCUGAACAUACUUUGUGAUAUGCUAUUUUUUUUUAAUGAUUGAUAGAUCAAUUUGGUACUAUAUCUAAAUAAACCAAAUUGCUAGUUUAGUUCUCUUUGUAAUUUUCUUGUUUUAGAUUGUAUUAUUCUAUUUUAAUUUUUGCAGCAAGAUACAUACUAUCAAAUAUGUUAGGGGAAGAUUUGUUAGAACUAACCAAGGGCAUUUUAGUAAUUUAGUUUGAUUUUUGUUAGUUAGGUCGUUAGCAACAGUUAAUUUGUUAAGCUUCUUUCCUUCUUGUAUAUAUGAUGAGUCAUUAUGUCAAUUGAUCAAUUAAUGAAUACAGAUCAUUUUGCAACUCAUUCUAUUCUUUCAAUUCAAUCUUGAUAACAUGGUAUUAGAGCUACAUGAUCCGAUUCUUCAUCUUUUGAUUCAAUUUUUCAUAUACUCUAUUUUUUUUGUUUGUUUCUUCAAUGGCUGGAUCACAAUCUAAUUCUUCUAGUUCAUCUAAUUUGUCCAUUGAUCAUUCAAGCCCUUACUUCAUAGGAUCAUCUGAUAACCCCAAUUUCUUACUUGUUACUACUCCAUUCGAUGGAAAUGGAUUCAACUCAUGGAAACGAUCCAUAAUCAUUUCUUUAUCCGCAAAGAACAAAUUGGGGUUCGUUGAUGGAACUAUUUCAAAACCUCUCACUUCUUCACCUAAUUAUCCUAAUUGGUACAGAGCUAAUUCCAUGGUAAUUAUUUGGCUUCUCAACUCGUUGUCCAAAAAUAUUGCUGAAAGCGUUCUAUUCUUACAAACUGCAUAUGAGAUCUGGAAUGAACUCAAUCAACGUUACGAACAAUCAAAUGGAGCUCUUCUUUAUCAAAUUCAGCAACAAAUUUUUUCGUUGUCUCAAGGAUCUGAAAAUUUUUCAUCAUACUUUACCAAAUUGACAAAGGUUUGGGAUGAGCUUCGCAUCGUUCAAAAAUUUCCUCCAUGCUCCUGUGAAUCUGCUGCUGCUAUUCCCAAAUUCCUUGAAGAACAGCGUCUAAUACAACUAUUGAUGGGUUUGAAUGAUAGUUACAAGAUACUUCGUGGCCAAAUACUGAUGAUGAAACCUCUUCCUAGCGUCUCAACUGCGUACUCUUUGAUCAUUCAAGAAGAACAACAAAGAGGUAUAACUAAUAAUUCUCAGAUUAACCUUGAUUCUAUAGCCAUGCAUGCUUUAUCUGAUGUUCAAAUCAACAAGAAGCAAUUGAUUUGUAAUCAUUGCAAGAAGUCUGGCCAUACAAAGUCUCAAUGUUACAGGAUAAUCGGUUUUCCUUCCAAUUUUAAGUUCACAAAAGGCAAGAAAGAAGAACCUAAAUCUAUGGCUCAGAAUGUUGCUACUAAAUAAGAUAUUGGUAUUACUGAAGAGCAAUACAACCAUCUUCUUCAACUAUUCAAUGCUAGCAACAUUGCAUCUUCCUCUAUGAGUCAAGCAAAUACCUCUAUGAAACUUGAUGCUAUGGAAAAGGAAGGUAAAUCGUUUUCUUUUAAACAUUUUGCAGCAAAUGUUUACAAGUCAUCAAAUCUUUUACAACCUUAUUUAUCAUGGAUUGUUGAUACCGGAGCCACUGAUCACAUGUGUUCUAAUAAAGAACUUUUCUCUACUUUUCAUAAGUUACAUCAACCUCACAUGAUUGGAUUGCCUGAUGGACAUGAUGCAUCUCUUGAAUUUUAUGGUGAUGUUACAAUACAUGAUUCCAUUUUCCUUCACAAAGUAUUAUAUGUUCCAAGAUUCAAAUACAAUCUUGUAUCUGUUUCUCAACUUGCAUCUUAACUUCAAACCUUCUUCAUGUUCACUGAUAGAUAUUGUUUGAUGCAGGACCCUUUGAUGAAGAGUAAAAUUGCACUUGGAAUCUCAGGGAAUCGCAUCAAUGAUCUAUAUGUUUUUCAUCAUCAUUCUCUUAAGUCUAGUUUGUCUUUCAGUUUCUCUAUAUUCAAACAAUCUUUUUGUUCAAAUAAGUGUAAUUCCAAUUAUGAUGUAAUACUUUGGCACAAUCGUUUUGGUCAUACUUCAAUUGAAACUUUAAAGAAUCUUUCUCUCGUUCAUUCUGAUUAUCAUAAUGAUUCCCCUUGUUUAAUCUGUUCCAAGGCCAAAUAAUCUCGUUUGCCUUUUCCUUUAAGCCAUUCCAAAUCCAAGGGCAUUUUUGACUUAGUUCAUGUUGAUCUAUGGGGUCCUUAUAAACAUCCUUCUCAUGAUGGACAUAAAUUGUUCUUAACAAUUUUGGAUGAUUACAGUAGAAAUAAUUGGAUACAUCUUCUUAACAAUAAGAGUUAUGCCUUAACUCUUAUCAAGGAUUUUGUCAAGUUUGUCCAAACUCAAUUUUCAAAGAAAAUAAAAGUGAUCAGGUAUGAUAAUGCCUAUGAGUUGGGAAGUAGUAAUGAAGGCAUAGAAUUCUAUUCUUCUCAAGGAAUCAUUCAUCAAAAAUCAACUUCUUAUACUCCACAACAUAAUGGAAUUGUGGAAAGAAAGCAUAAACACAUUCUUGAGAUUGCACAAGCAUUAUAUUUUCAAGCAGGCUUAAGCACAAAGUAUUGGGGGGAAUGUGUGAAAACAGUUGUUUAUCUUAUAAACAGAAUGCCAACUAAAGUUCUUGAUUUGAAGUAUCCUUUUGAAAUAUUACAUGGAAUGAAACCAGAUCUUAAUCAUUUAAGAUCCUUUGGUUGUUUAUGUUUUGUUGCCACUUCUGAAGUAGGAAGGGACAAGUUCAUGCCCCGAUCUCAAGCUUGUAUUUUUAUUGGAUACCCUUCUUCUCAAAAGGCUUACAAAGUGAUGAAUAUUGAAAGUAAACAAAAUUUUGUUACUAGGGAUAUUAAGUUCUUUGAGCAUAUAUUCCCUUUACAUUCACUCCAUUCCCCGCAACCAUCAACUUCAUCACCUACAUAUAUGCCUAAUGCUUGUGUUGAAGACCCAACUGUCUUAACAGAAACAAUUACCACUCCUGUCAUUAUUGAGUCUUCUUUUGAAGUUGAUGAAGUUUUACAUGCCCCAAACCAUAAUGCACAAGCACAAAAUCCAGCUCAUAAUAACAGACCUGUCAGAACAACGCAUCCUCUAUCUUAUCUCAAGGAUUUCAUUUGUAAUCUUGCUUCAUCUGAUACUAGUGAUUGUUCUCAUACUAUCACUAAUCUUUGUAUCCUUCAGAAUACAUCAAAUUAUUCUAUUCCAUCAAAUGACUGUUUUACCCUUGCAUUCAAUGCAACUUCUUAUGAGACUGAGCCUGUGUUUUACAAUCAAGCAAAAGGAAAUCCUAAUUGGGAGGAUGCUAUGCAAAAGGAAUUAACAGCAUUACCUCAUAAUAAUACUUGGACUAUUGUUAAACUUCCUAAGGGUAAAUGUCCUAUAUCCUGCAAAUGGGUUUACAAGCUUAAGUACAAGGCUGAUGGCACUAUAGAACGAUACAAGGCACGAUUAGUUGCUAAAGGUUUUACACAAAAGGAAGGGAUAGAUUAUCAUGAGACAUUUUCUCCUGUUGUGAAGUUUACCACUAUCAGGUGUCUUAUUUCUGUUGUUGUCAAAAGAGGGUGGCCAAUACAACAAUUUGAUGUGAACAAUGUUUUCCUUCACGGAGAGCUUCAUGAAGAGGUUUACAUGAAGAUUCCUCCUGGUUUAGACGUUGGCUAUUCUACAUUAGUUUGCAAGUGAAACAAGUCUCUUUAUGGCUUGAAACAAGCUUUGCGUCAGUGGUAUGCCAAACUCUCUUCUGCCUUAUAUACUAAAGGGUAUAAACACUCUCAAAAUGAUCAUUCACUUUUCCUCAAGCAUACUAAUGAUCUCAUUAUAAUUGUUGCUGUCUACGUUGAUGAUAUUAUAAUCACUGGCAAUGAUUCAGAAGAAAUUGCAGCCCUUAAGAAGUUUUUAGAUGAUACUUUUAAGAUAAAAGAUCUUGGCAACAUUGGUUAUUUUCUUGGCUUAGAAUUUAAUCACAUUUCUUCUGGUAUAGUUGUUCACCAACAAAAGUUUAUUAAAGAACUUCUUGCUUUAUAUUCCAUGAGUGAUUGUGUUCCUGCUGCCACACCAUUGCCUUCAAAGUUUAAUGGACAUUCUCAUAAAGAAUAAUUACUAGAAGAUGUUGCACAAUAUAGACAACUUGUGGGAAAGCUUAAUUACCUUUUACAUACAAGGCCAGAUUUAUUUUUCACAGUUCAGUAUCUCAGUCAGUUUAAUCAAAAACCUGCCCAAAGUCACUUUCAAGUUGUUUUACAUGUUCUAUAAUAUCUCAAAGGAACUAUUCAUCAAGGAUUAUAUUUCAAUAACAAGCCAACAUUCAAUAUUGAGGCAUAUUGUGACUCUGAUUGGGCUUCCUGUCCAACAACUCGUAGAUCAGUUAGUGGUUUCUUUGUUCUUUUUGGAGGUACUCCUAUUUCUUGGAAGUCAAAGAAGCAGGUUACCAUUUCUUUGUCAUCAGCUGAAGCAGAGUACAGAUCAAUGAGGCGCGUAUGUGCUGAAUUAGCAUGGUUAACAAGACUUUUUCAUGAUCUACAAGUUCCUAAUCUUCAACCAGUUCCUUUGAAGUGUGACAGCUUGGCUGUUAUAUAAAAUCACUUAAUAUUUGGUGUCGUAUUUUAUGGCUAUCUUGAAUUAGAAAAAGUUGAACUUCAAAUGCCAUGUUUGAUUUCUUCAUUGGCAUGCUCAAUAUUACCAAUGUAAUGAAAUCUUAAAAGAGAUUGACGACGUAAAGCCAUAUUAAAAAUGGAUGAAUAUGAUGCUAUUCAUGAAAGUCGGUCUAGAGGUGUCAUCAAAGGUACAGUUGUAUAUAGAGACUCCUAUCUGAUUGAAAAAAUGUAAUAUGAAAACAUGUAAUCAAUUGCGAUUUAUAAGGCCUUAUAUAUAACAUAGCUAAAGUAAAAUUGCAUUCAAUAUAACAGAACAAAUAUGGGUAAUCAAUUUCAACUACUAUUUUUUCUCUAGAGCAACAGUAACAGAAGUAAGUUAACACUAAUGGUCAAAUUUAAGAAGUAAAAGAUUAUGUUUGGUUGUUUGAGAUAACUAGAGAUAUCGUAGGGUUUGGAAAGACUGUGACAACAACAAAGCCAAGAUUGCAUCGUGUAUUGAUUAGUUCGACACUUAAUAAUGAAUUGCAUAGUGUAUAUGAGAACCGUUUGGGAAAGUAGGAUCCAUAAAGGUAUAAUAACAUCCGCAUAACAUCUAAAGUUUAUCUGACAUGCUUUUCAUAGAUCUCUCAAGACAUGAUAGAGAUGGGGGGUAAUGAAGCUUCAAUGAAUUGACAAUGGAAACAUGAAGCGGGUAGAAGGAGUUUGUGCAUUGGAAUAAGUUGACCCGCUCGAAUGACCCGAAAGGGGGUUGCAUUCUCAUGGGGACCCGAGCAGCAGACCNUGACAAUGGAAACAUGAAGCGGGUAGAAGGAGUUUGUGCAUUGGAAUAAGUUGACCCGCUCGAAUGACCCGAAAGGGGGUUGCAUUCUCAUGGGGACCCGAGCAGCAGACCUCCUUUGAGACACUUCGCCAAAGGUUGUGCGAAGCUCCGGUAUUAGCUCUCCCGGAAGGGAUGAAGGAUUUUGUAGUAUAUUGCGAUGCAUCGAUUUCGGGGCUGGGUGCAGUGUUGAUGCAGAGGGGUCAUGUGAUAGCUUAUGCGUCGAGGCAGCUGAAGCCUCAUGAGGCGAGAUAUCCCACGCAUGAUUUAGAGUUGGGGGCAGUAGUGUUCGCUCUCAAGAUUUGGCGUCACUACUUGUAUGGGGUUCGAUGUACGAUAUACACGGACCAUAAGAGCUUGAAGUAUUUGAUGGAUCAGCCCAACCUAAAUAUGCGUCAGAGGAGGUGGUUGGAUGUGGUCAAGGAUUAUGAUUGUGAGAUCCUGUACCACCCAGGCAAGGCUAAUGUGGUAGCCGAUGCAUUGAGCCGCAGGGCGGAGAGCACUCCACUGCGAGAUGUAUGUUUGAGAUUGACUGUAAUAGCUCCAGUAUUGGAUGCUAUUCGUGGGGCACAGGCCGAGGCUGUGCGACCAGAGAUGCAGAAGAGAGAGCGGGUCGUUGGUUUGGUUUCAGAGUUCGUUACGGAUGGACGAGGGCUUAUGACGUUUCAGGGUCGGAUUUGGGUACCGUUCGUGGGUGGUACGCGUAUUACUUUGAUGGAAGAGGCUCAUCGAUCGAAAUUCUCGAUCCAUCCCGGGGCUACGAAGAUGUAUUUGGAUUUGAGGAAAGAGUAUUGGUGGCCCUGUAUGAAGAGGGACGUCGCAUGGUUCGUUGAGAGGUGCUUGACCUGCCGUAGGGUUAAGGCCGAGCACCAGAGACCGCAUGGCAAGUUGCAGCCAUUGGAGGUUCCCGAAUGGAAGUGGGAACAGAUCACUAUGGAUUUCAUCACCAAAUUGCCGAGAACUGCCAGAGGAGUUGAUGCAAUUUGGGUGAUUGUGGAUAGGUUGACGAAGAGCGCUCACUUCCUUGCCAUCAGUGAGAGUUCUUCAGCGGAGAAGUUGGCGGAGAUAUAUGUGAGAGAAGUGGUAUCUCGGCAUGGGGUGCCGAUCUCGAUUGUUUCAGACCGUGAUGUGCGCUUCACUUCCAGAUUCUGGAAGAAAUUCCAUGAGGAGCUGGGUACUAAAUUGCAUUUUAGUACCGCAUACCAUCCCCAGACAGACGGCCAGAGCGAGCGGACGAUUCAGACGCUGGAGGACAUGCUUCGAGCGUGUGUGUUAGAUUUCGGGGGUAGCUGGGAUGCGUAUUUACCCUUGGCAGAGUUUUCCUACAACAACAGCCAUCAUUCGAGCAUUGGUAUGCCACCCUUUGAGCUGUUGUAUGGUAGGAGGUGUCGGACCCCCAUUUGCUGGGGAGAGGUUGGGCAGAGAGUGAUGGGCAGUACAGAGAUCGUGCUUCAGACGACAGAGCAGAUUCAGCAGGUCAGACAGAGGUUAUUGACCGCCCAGAGCCGACAGAAGAGUUAUGCAGACAGACGCCGGUCCGAGCUUGAGUUUCAGGUCGGCGACUUCGUUCUCCUGAAGGUCUCUCCUUGGAAAGGAGUGAUUCGAUUCAGGAAGAGGGGCAAGUUGGGGCCCCGGUAUAUUGGGCCAUUUCGUGUGAUUGCAAGGGUAGGCCGGGUAGCCUAUCGUUUGGAAUUGCCAGCAGAGUUGGGGCAAAUCCACGACACUUUUCAUGUGUCGCAAUUGAGGAAGUGUAUAGCCGAUGAGUCGGCAGUGGUUCCAUUAGAGGAUAUUCAGGUGGAUGCGAGCCUGAAUUAUGCCGAGAGACCAGUGGCCAUCAGGGAUCGGAAAAUCAAGGUUCUGAGGAACAAGGAGGUACCUCUGGUGUUGGUUCAGUGGCAACACCGGAAGGGAUCGGAAAUGACUUGGGAGCCGGAGCGUGAGAUGCGGGAGCAGCAUCCGGAGCUAUUUUCAGAGUGAGACUUCGAGGGCGAAGUCUAGUCCUAGUGGGGGAGAGUUGUAACAGCCCGGAAUUUCAGGUAUUGUUAUAUUUAUGAUUUUGGGUGUUUUAAGAGGGGACUCGGCGAGUUGGAGCUCAGACUCGCCGAGUAGGAUCGCGGAUCUGGUCGCGGGUUCGCGACUGGACUCGACGAGUCCGGAUAUGGACUCGGCGAGUCUGCGCUGUUUAGCGAAAACCCUAACCGUUCAGGUUUGGGACGUAUAUGAGGGACUUUAUGGCCGUCAUUGUUCACCCUAGUCCUCUGAGAGAAACCCUAAUUCGAUUGUGAGCAUCUGGAGCAAGGUAGAAGACCAUUGUUGAUUUUGGAAGUGUUGUUUUGCAAGGAAGAGGAGGCUUGGUUAAGGGAACAACAAGGGAAGCCACGUUCUGAGGAUUGGGGACACAGAGAGCACGUUAUUCAGGUAAUAUUUCGAGUUGCAUCCUUCUAUGUUGAUGUGUAUAUGGAUUUAGGGUUUAUUGAACCCUUUUGUGGCUAGAUUGAGUGUUACCUUAGUCCCCCAAACGAUUGGAACCCUGUAUUGGGAUCUUUGGAAGUCCAGAAUGUCCCAUGCCUGAGCAUUUCGGGAAUCAAUGGAGGUUUUGGAUUGGAAUCCUUAUGCCUUAGGUCAAAAUGUAAAUUAUGAGUCAUGGGGUGUAUUAUGAGCACCGAAAUGAGGACCUUACGUGAUGAAUCAGUCUAGGAAGGCCAGACCUAUGAAUGGUCGGAGCAGUUCUGACCUUAGAAAGCAGUUUGAGCGGUUGCAUGGCAUGGACUCGCCGAGUCCGAUGAACAGACUCGGCGAGUAGCUUGAAGAUUAACUGGGACUCGUCGAGUUGUUCUUCAGACUCGGCGAGUUGAGUCGGGGUGGCCCCGCGAUUCUUCCAGGAGAAACUCGUCGAGUCAAGGAGGAUACUCGACGAGUAGAAAGGGAAUCUUAGAGAAUUGGUGAGGACGUCUAGACUCGCCGAGUCGCCCUAGCACUCGCCGAGUCCGGUCAAGUUGACCGUUGACCGUUGACCAGAGUUGACCUAUGUUUGACCUCUUAGGGAUAGUCAAACUUAGAAGAUAAAAGUGUUAAUAAGAGAUGUAUGAUGUUAUAGGGAGAUUGUAGCUCGGCGGAUCGAGUACGAGUGACUUCGGGAUUUGCUAGCUUUCGACAUUCACGAGGUGAGUCUUCUCACUAUACUGUACCCGGAAGGGUUUGACUGUGUGACCGGAAGGUCGGAUAUGAUAUGUGAUAUAUGUGCUAUAUGUGAUAAGUUAAUUGUUAUACGUGCUAUGUAUGUUAUGUGGGCCGGAAGGCAUUAUGUUAUGGGCCGGAAGGCGAUUAUGUUAUGGGCCGGAAGGCGUUGUGUUGUGGACCGGAAGGUCGGCGUGGGUAGGACCGGAAGGUUUACCCAGCAGGGACGGAAGUCCCCUGAGACACAUGGACCGGAAGGUCAGGGCCUGGAAAGGCGUAUGUGCGUAAGUUGUAUAUUGGGGAACUCACUAAGCAUUUAUGCUUACAGUUGUUAUGUAUGUGUUUCAGGUACUAGCGAGGACCGUGGGAAGGCGCCGGCGUGAUCUGUACACACUGAUAGAUGUUUUGUGAUCUUGGGAUUCAGAUGAUUUGUAUUUUGACAUGACACUUGAAAUGUUUAUGCCUUGUUUUGAAUGAAAAUAACUUAUUUUGAAAUGAAAAAUUUGUUUGAAAAUUUACGGUGUUACAGUUUAGUAGCACAUGAAAAACAAUCAAAUUUCAUAAAUGUACAUCGCUAAUGUCACAGUUUUUCCACAAUGGAGUUUGGUCAAAGACUAUUUAAAUGUGCGUAGGAAACAAGCACAUUUGAUAACACCUCACUAAUCCCAUACAUUGCUUGCGAUAGUAUGUGGUUGAAACUAGCUUUAUACAACAUUUAUUAAAGAUCAAUACAUUCAUUUAUGUAAACAUAUGUACAUGUUUAUACCAUUUUGCUUACAUGGCUAUACAAUCAAGUUUAAAUAGAUGAGGGUUUGUUAUGUAUAACUUACUUAAUUGUUCGAUAUCCUCAUCAUUUGUCGUAAGAUACAAAAUCAUGAGGUUGAUACAAAAAUAGUGAAAUCUAAAGGUGUUACUGUAACAAUCAUAAAAUUUACGCCAAUUUAAAACAUUUUAAUCCAUUCAAAGACCAUUAAGUUAUUACAACUUGUUUUCAAAAUAGUUUAAACAUCCGAGUAUCCUUAUAACCAAAUCACAAAAUCAUGAAAUAUGAGAAGCGGUACGAUCACGCCUUUGCCUUGCCACGAUCUCUUGAUGUACCUGAAACUGUAAGCCCGAAAGCUUAGUGAGUUCCCCCAAAAUACCCAUACACACAUAAGCAUACACAUACAACAAUGAACAACAUAUUAUGGGUCCAAUCAACCGUCGGGUUGGAAUACCCCAAGCCUCAACCAUCGGGUUGGAAUGCCAACGUACUACGAGUCCAAUCAUCCGCGGGAUGGAAUACUCUCGACCCACAACCAUCGGGUUGGAAUGCCUACACACCUAUACAUAUAAUAACUACUAUGGGUCCAAUCAUCCCUCGGGAUGGAAUACCCUAGGCCCUCAACCAUCGGGUUGGAAUGCCCACCUACUAUGAGUCCAAUCAUCCUACCGGGAUGGAAUACUCCUGGCCCAUAACCAUCAGGUUGGAAUGCCCACCUACUAUGAGUCCUAUCAUCGUACCGAGAUGGAAUACUCUCGGCCCACAACCAUCGGGUUGGAAUGCCCACAUACUAGCAAACAUGUGCACUUAUUAAAUAAUCACAUAACAUUCUACAAAAACGACAUAACAAGGCCCUAUCAUCCUACCGGGAUGGAAUACUCUCUACUACUGCUCAAACAUGUGCACAUAUUGUUGGAUUAGUGUCUAAGUCCAUAACUAUUUUGGUAUGUACUUGACCCGAUUAUGAGCAUGGUCCUUUUGGGUUGCCUUCACCAUAGCAAUAUGUAGGAUGAUUUAAGGAGAGAAAGGUUUAAAUAUGAUUUAUUAAUAUAUUAUGAGAAUAAUAUAUUAAAGGAGAAAUCAUAUUGUUUAAUUAAUAUUAGUCAAUAAUUAAUUGUUAAUUAAUUUUGUGGCUAAAAGAGAUUAAUUAAACUUAGGGGACUGAAGUUGUAAUUAUAAGAUAAUUAUAAUUGGGCUAAGGAUCACCUAAUAAUAUAUAGGUUGGACGAAUUCUAUGGGUAGCCCAUUAGAAAUCGUCCAAGGGAUAUGUUUAAGGAGUCCAUGGGCUGCUUAGGGCCUAAGCAGUCAAAUUAGGGUUUCCUAGUUGUAAACCCUAAUAGCCUACAUGUAUAUAAAGGGCCCCUAUGCCCCAAAAACGUGGACAAGUCUUCCAUUAGGGUUUCCAGCCGUUUUUGGGCAGCCUCUAUUCUUCUCCUCUUCAUCCAAGUUGUAUAUGGUGUUUGUGACUCCAUUAGAGGUGCAGCACUUGAGGCACUAAGCUUUCUAAGGCCAAUCCAAGUAAGGAAUUGAUUGUUAUUGCUAUAUAACAAUCAAAGGUAAUUCUAUAAACCCUAAUUUAGUUUGUAAUUUGUUAGAUCUAAGUUUGUUAGUCUUGGAUUCAAAGCAUGUGCAAUAGAGAAACCUAGAUCCAAGCAUUAGGGUUUGUAUGAGCACAUAGGAUUGUUCUUAUGCAUAAAACCCAUCAGUGGUAUCAGAGCCUUGAUUGGUUUCAGUUGUAUNNNNNNNNNNNNNNNNNNNNNNNNNNNNNNNNNNNNNNNNNNNNNNNNNNNNNNNNNNNNNNNNNNNNNNNNNNNNNNNNNNNNNNNNNNNNNNNNNNNNNNNNNNNNNNNNNNNNNNNNNNNNNNNNNNNNNNNNNNNNNNNNNNNNNNNNNNNNNNNNNNNNNNNNNNNNNNNNNNNNNNNNNNNNNNNNNNNNNNNNNNNNNNNNNNNNNNNNNNNNNNNNNNNNNNNNNNNNNNNNNNNNNNNNNNNNNNNNNNNNNNNNNNNNNNNNNNNNNNNNNNNNNNNNNNNNNNNNNNNNNNNNNNNNNNNNNNNNNNNNNNNNNNNNNNNNNNNNNNNNNNNNNNNNNNNNNNNNNNNNNNNNNNNNNNNNNNNNNNNNNNNNNNNNNNNNNNNNNNNNNNNNNNNNNNNNNNNNNNNNNNNNNNNNNNNNNNNNNNNNNNNNNNNNNNNNNNNNNNNNNNNNNNNNNNNNNNNNNNNNNNNNNNNNNNNNNNNNNNNNNNNNNNNNNNNNNNNNNNNNNNNNNNNNNNNNNNNNNNNNNNNNNNNNNNNNNNNNNNNNNNNNNNNNNNNNNNNNNNNNNNNNNNNNNNNNNNNNNNNNNNNNNNNNNNNNNNNNNNNNNNNNNNNNNNNNNNNNNNNNNNNNNNNNNNNNNNNNNNNNNNNNNNNNNNNNNNNNNNNNNNNNNNNNNNNNNNNNNNNNNNNNNNNNNNNNNNNNNNNNNNNNNNNNNNNNNNNNNNNNNNNNNNNNNNNNNNNNNNNNNNNNNNNNNNNNNNNNNNNNNNNNNNNNNNNNNNNNNNNNNNNNNNNNNNNNNNNNNNNNNNNNNNNNNNNNNNNNNNNNNNNNNNNNNNNNNNNNNNNNNNNNNNNNNNNNNNNNNNNNNNNNNNNNNNNNNNNNNNNNNNNNNNNNNNNNNNNNNNNNNNNNNNNNNNNNNNNNNNNNNNNNNNNNNNNNNNNNNNNNNNNNNNNNNNNNNNNNNNNNNNNNNNNNNNNNNNNNNNNNNNNNNNNNNNNNNNNNNNNNNNNNNNNNNNNNNNNNNNNNNNNNNNNNNNNNNNNNNNNNNNNNNNNNNNNNNNNNNNNNNNNNNNNNNNNNNNNNNNNNNNNNNNNNNNNNNNNNNNNNNNNNNNNNNNNNNNNNNNNNNNNNNNNNNNNNNNNNNNNNNNNNNNNNNNNNNNNNNNNNNNNNNNNNNNNNNNNNNNNNNNNNNNNNNNNNNNNNNNNNNNNNNNNNNNNNNNNNNNNNNNNNNNNNNNNNNNNNNNNNNNNNNNNNNNNNNNNNNNNNNNNNNNNNNNNNNNNNNNNNNNNNNNNNNNNNNNNNNNNNNNNNNNNNNNNNNNNNNNNNNNNNNNNNNNNNNNNNNNNNNNNNNNNNNNNNNNNNNNNNNNNNNNNNNNNNNNNNNNNNNNNNNNNNNNNNNNNNNAAGAAGUGAGCUGAAUCUAAUCAUGAAGAAAUGGAUUUCGAUCGCAUUACUUGAAGAAUGGAUUCUUGAGCUACUACUUGGAGUUAGAAUAGAUUGUUAAGAAAUAUGCAAUAACAUAGUUUUUCAAUUAAAUUGCAUUGUAAGGACAAAAAUAUUCCGCAAUAAAAUGAAAUUUGAUUUUAUCUUAUUUAUUUAUCCUUGCAAUGGCAUGUAUGAAAAAUUGAUGUUUGAAUGUUUCUAUUAUUAGCAAUAAUGGAUUUGAUUCUUAAUUAUGUUAUUUGUGGAAAUGUCAAAAGUUUACCAAAUAGGGAGAGUUUCUCAUCGCCCAAGUUUCAAUUGGACAGAAACUUGGAAUCAUGCAAUGUGUAUUGUAUGAUGAAUGAAAAACUUUCACAUUUGGGAAACUUAGACUAAUUCUUUGACAAAGUGUCAAUUGAAGGACUAGGAGAUCAAGUACACUAGGUUGUGCGUUGAUCAAGUCCACCACAAGAGUGACAAAGAUAUUCGUCAUGAUUUACUAAAAGUUUAGUAAAUAUGAUUAUACUUAUAAGAUUAAGUGUAAUUCUGAGUUGAUUGAAAAAGUUUCAAUCAAUAGCAGAACGAAUAAGAAGAAUCAAGUAGGCAGAAAGAUAAAAGUUUCUCUAUUCUAAGAAGAAGGGAGAGUACCUUUUAUUGUGUUUUAUGAUAAGUCUUAAUGAUUAAGAACCAUAUCUCAAUUGAUCCUCUAAGUGAGUCUUAGUGCAAUUGCAUGUCUAAGAAGAGGAAUCGAGAAUUGUAGAAAUGGUUAAAUCAAGAAGUCAAUCAUACUUCGUUCCAAUAUCAAGUCUUAGAGUCAAGAUUGUGACAUUGAGUGAAAAGUCUUAAGUAGGUUUAUAACACUCAUCAAAUGUGGAAUUUGGAAAAGUUUUCUUAUUCUUGCACAUUUGAAAUUGGUAAGUUGUGCUGUCUUGGAUAAGACAAAGACCAACUAGGACCAAUUAUGUGAAGUGUUUUGUCUUGAUAAGAACUACACUAACUCUUGAAUAUUUGCUUUGUCAAGAAAUGUUUCUUGACAAGAGAAUCUUAUAUGUCAAGGAGUCAGUGGGAGUCUUAAUGGUCUUGAAAGGUUUCAAGAACAAAUCAAGAAUAUACCUUAUCGAUCAUCACUAGCACACGACUUGAGGUUUACAACCUAUCGUGCUGACAUUAUUUUGUUUUUGUGCCAUUCCAAUUGAGUUAAUUGUGUAUGUGAGUUCUAUGAGUUCUCAUUUGAAUGCAUACUAGAGCCUUAGUCGAUGGAAAGUACAUUGAUAUGUAAGGACAAGUUACUAAACUACUUGGAAGACAUGGUGGGCACUCGUGUUACCAUAAGGCAAGAAAUCAAGAUUAAGAAAGUUCAGUCCAUAUGAGUUUGGAUUUGUCGCAAACCUUGGUUUUGGCAAAUUCACAUGGAUAGGAACUCAUACACCAUAAAAUCUAAGUGUCAUAAGAUUCCCUCCUUCAUGAAAAUGACUGUGAGGAAAUGCUUUCACUAAGAGAGAUUUUAAGAAGAUAGCAAUUGUGAAAAUUGUAUUCUCAAAUUCGAUUAUGGUUACGGCAUCCCUUUCCAUAGUUCGAAUUGUGAGAUUUGGCAAUUAGUUUCAACAUUUGGAACUUAGUAACAUAAGUUCUGAAUUGUUUAAACACACAUAUGAGCUAUCUAAGACAAAUGUGUAUAAGGCUAAGAAGCCUAGAUAAAGGCUUAUCGAAGCAUCUGGUAUUAGAAAUAUGAAUUUCAGAAAUUCAAUAGGCAUUGUUUUCUGAAAGUUCAUUUGUUUUCUGAAUACAUGUCAAAGCUAGUGGGAGCAUAAGUGUUAUGCUUAUAUGAUAAUAAUCAUCAUGAUAGUGGGAGCAUAAGUGUUAUGCUUGUAUGAUUAUUAUGGCGAGUAUUGCAAGUUAGCAAUAUUAAUUAUAGAAAAACAAAGAUUCAAUUUGCAAAGUUGCAUGGGUUGAAAAGUUGUUUUGCUAUAAUUAAGGGAGAGAAUAUUAUACUUCGUUUCAAAAUCUAAAGCUUAGAUUGAGAAAUUUUAAUAUUUUCAGUCAAAGGAUACAUUGUGUGUUCUUAAAAUUCGAUUAUGAUUACGGCAUCCCUCUUCAUAGUUCGAAUUGUGAGAACAUGACACAUAAAAUAUUAUGGCAAAAGAUUGGUAAAGUAUCAUAUCUUUAUGUAAGACAUUAUGCAUCGUGUCCCAUACGCUUCGGGUAUAGGAUCGAUUGUAAAUGCUAUAGUAUUUUACCAUUCUAAAAUUUUCCAAAUGUCUAGCGCAUUAAGAGGGAAAAAGGAAUAGAAUUGGUUUUGACUGAAAGAAUUUAACAACUAUCAAAGGAUGAUCCAAAGUUCGCUGAGGAUUGAUCGCUUGUGAGUAGUUGAAAGUAUGGUAUUGGAUGGACCAUAUCGACAUUAUUAUGAAUAGAUAAGAUUCUAUUAAGAAUGAGUUGUCAUAUGGCAAAUGUGGAAAUGUUUCCAUAUUGGGAGUUGGAUAUUGAGAUUCUAUGCCUAGAUUAGAAACUUUUAUGCAAGAAGGAUGUUCAAAGGAAUGUACUUUGAAUGUGAGACUUCACAUCUAUGGAAUUGUCUUGUAACAAUUUCUAAGAAAGCACUUUGUAAUUUCAUUAGCCAAGUCUUGGUGACUUUUGUGCUAUGACUUUACGAAAGGAUCGUUGCGUAAAAUGUUAGAAUCUAGCAUAUUCUAGUAGUGGCAAGAACCUUGUGUUCCUACACUAAUAAUUAGGAUUAAGGAAUUGUGAAAUGAGCAUCAUUGGAAAAGUUUUCAGGUGAUCUAUUUCACAAAGCAUGGACCAUAGGAAACAAAGUGUGCAUGUUUAGAGCAUGGGACAAUUGUUGGUAUGAUUCAAGUAAUGAGUUGAUUAUCCGAAACAUUAAAUGAUAAAUAAUGAGUAAUCAAUAUGGUGGAUAAAUAGAAGGGUUUUAUUUACUCUCACAAGUUUGGGGCCAUAUAGGAUUAAGUAUUGUUGUCAUGUUUCAAUUUGCAUGUUUUGACUUCCAGAAUAACUAGGUUAUUCAAACAUCCACAGUUGGUCAUACGUUGGGAGUAGGUAUGAAUAAAGACUGUCAUGAAUCUGUCUGUAGAUUGUCUGAAGUGUUUAGACAUGGCACAAGUUUGCUGCAGAGUUCGUGAGUGCUUUGAUAAGAUUAAAGUAUUGGAUUAAACCCACGCUCACUUGGAUCACUUCACGGUUUUAUCACGAGUGAUUAGUGAGACGAUAAUAUUGUAUAUUCUUGAAACCGAGACGUGUGAGUUGUUAUUUGUUGGUCAGUUACACAUUGAUAAUAAGUAAACGCACCAGUAACUUGGUGUUAUAAAACUUAUUGUUGUGUGUGAUUCGAUCAGUAAAUGCAAGCGAGCAUUUGAGUCGAAGUUUAUCCAUUCCUUUUACCCAAAGUGGGAUAAAAGCGAUAUAUGUGGGCCUCUCGAUGAUUUAGUGAUGACAUCUAAGCGCUUGGCCAAGCCGGGACUAAGUUGAUGUGUUCAAUUGUAGUCUGUUAUCAGUCGUCAUGAAUCGGAAGUCGGGAAAAAGUAUAGAGAGAAUGAUUGAAAUUCAUGUCUUUUGUCUAUACGAUAUCUUGAGAAUGGAGGAAUAUAUAAUCCCUUAUCUAGAGGACACGCUAUCUGAUAAGAUCAGAGUUGACAGCGGCUUUUGAAAGCUACGAUUGCUGAUCAGGUUUUGAAGUCAUACGGAAAAUAGUUAUUAGACUUAUCCAAGUGGGAGACUGUUGGAUUAGUGUCUAAGUCCAUAACUAUUUUGGUAUGUACUUGACCCGAUUAUGAGCAUGGUCCUUUUGGGUUGCCUUCACCAUAGCAAUAUGUAGGAUGAUUUAAGGAGAGAAAGGUUUAAAUAUGAUUUAUUAAUAUAUUAUGAGAAUAAUAUAUUAAAGGAGAAAUCAUAUUGUUUAAUUAAUAUUAGUCAAGAAUUAAUUGUUAAUUAAUUUUGUGGCUAAAAGAGAUUAAUUAAACUUAGGGGACUGAAGUUGUAAUUAUAAGAUAAUUAUAAUUGGGCUAUGGAUCACCUAAUAAUAUAUAGGUUGGACGAAUUCUAUGGGAAGCCCAUUAGAAAUCGUCCAAGGGAUAUGUUUAAGGAGUCCAUGGGCUGCUUAGGGCCUAAGCAGUCAAAUUAGGGUUUCCUAGUUGUAAACCCUAAUAGCCUACAUGUAUAUAAAGGGCCCCUAUGCCCCAAAAACGUGGACAAGUCUUUCAUUAGGGUUUCCAUCCAUUUUUGGGCAGCCUCUCUUCUUCUCCUCUUCAUCCAAGUUGUAUAUGGUGUUUGUGACUCCAUUAGAGGUGCAGCACUUGAGGCACUAAGCUUUCUAAGGCCAAUCCAAGUAAGGAAUUGAUUGUUAUUGCUAUAUAACAAUCAAAGGUAAUUCUAUAAACCCUAAUUUAGUUUGUAAUUUGUUAGAUCUAAGUUUGUUAGUCUUGGAUUCAAAGCAUGUGCAAUAGAGAAACCUAGAUCCAAGCAUUAGGGUUUGUAUGAGCACAUAGGAUUGUUCUUAUGCCUAAAAUCCAUCACAUAUAACAUGUAAUCUCCUACCAGCAUACAGACAGACAAACCAACUACAUGUCACUAAGCAUAGCCACAUCCAAUCUACCAGGAUACCGAUGUAACCAACAAUACUAACACAUAGUCAUCCUUUCUACCAGAAUGGCAACUAACAUAUCACAACAGUAACUAUCUCAAAUAGCAAAUCAAAGGGCUGACUUUGGUGCCUUAGAACCUUGGGUAUAUCGAGGAUAACUCACCUUGCAAUUGCUGAACUGAAGAGAUGAGAUCAAAACUCCCGAUCAUUGCCACGAACACCACCGCCUAAAACUUCAUUGAAAUCAUAACCAUCAGAGCCCAAAUUACCAAAAUACCCCUUUGAAGUCAAAUCCUAACCCCCAUUAUUGCAUUUUGGAACCUUAGUGACCAGUUUAACAAGUUAAUCUUACCAAAUGGCUUAUAGCCCAAUGAUAUCAGAUGUUGUCUUUCCUCCUUGAAGUUGAGGAUUCAAGUCUCGUUGGAGAUAUAAGUGGAUUUAUGAGUAAUAGGAAUAGAAUAGAUUUGUCACUAAAAAAAAAUCAACUUCAAUCCAUACUUAAUCCAUAUAUAGCAACGAAGUUGGAUAUUUUAUGUUGUCUUCAUAAGGUUGCACCUAACACCUUUAAAUAAAUAAUCAUUAACCACUUUCUAGAAGAGUGUAUAAAUCAAGGCUCAUUUCAGUCUCCAAGAUAUAAGGUCUCUCCUUCUAAUAGGAAAUUAACGAUAUCAAACAAGACCAAUCAUUCAACCAUCUCCAAAUAGAAAAUAACAUAGCUACAACUAAGGUUCUAAAGCAGUUAUUGCGGUCCAAAUUUCAAUAGCGGUCACAUGCCGCUAUUUGAAAUUGCAGUUAUCGCGGUGGUAUAGCAGUGGUAUAGCGGUUUUUUAAUAUUAUGUAUAAUUUAUAUUAUAUAUCUAUACAAAAUUUAUAUAUUAGAUUAUUAGUACUAUAUGGAAUUAAUAUCAUAAAAAAUCAUAUAAAAACAUAACAUAAUCUAUAUAUAAUAUUCUAAUAUAGUUAUAUGGAAACUAAAUGUGUCAAAAUGUCAUUACAACUCAAGUCGUUCGUGGUUUCUAAGUACUGAAACAGAUGAGAAAGAGAAGUUGUCAUUUGUUGAUUUGUAGUUUGUAAUUAAUCAUGAUUAUUAUUUGGACUUAUUAAGACAAAAAGUGUAGUGGACUAAUUAAAAAAAAUAAAGAUUUAAUAUUGAAAUAACACACAAUUGUUUUAUUCUUUGUCAAAAUAACCCAAUAUGUAUAAAAUUGUAAAAGCGGGUGUAGCGUCGCUAUAGCGCUGAUGAGUUUCACGGUAAACAGCGGUCGAUAGCGCCGCUAAUAACGCCACCGCUAUUUGUAAACGCUAUUUCAAAAUAACGGUUCAGUAACACCGCAAAACGCUAUAGCUCCGCUAUAGCACGCUAUUGAUAGCACAAGUUCUGAAUAAUGAACAAUUAUAGUGUGACAACCUCACAAUGUUAAAUCUCAAGCUUUCUUAAGACGUGACAUUAGUGUUGAAGAUAUGAGGACCAUCAUGACAAACUUGUUAGAACUAUAACUACAACUUUAAAAAAAUAAUCUACUCCUCACACUACUAGAUAAAAGAAAUGAAGAACAAAUAAAUGGCUUCGAAAUACAUUACAACAAACCUCAUCUUUUAUUUUCUUUUUGUCUUUAUGUAUUUUGUUUUGCUUUUUUUUUUUUUUUGAGAAAAAAGAAAUCCAAAUGAGAUGAUAUAUUCUCGGAAUUUCUAAAAGAUUCUUUAAGAAAAAUCGGACCGGGGUUAUUCAAGCGCAGACCGUCGGAUUACGAAAAUAGAAGUGAAACAGCAAUACAGCAUUGGCCAUUGGUCACGCGCACCACACAGGAUCACGUGCUCUCACAAGAUCUCGAGACUAUCGUCAACGUGAUCUCUCUCGAACCAUCCUGACCCUUCGUCGCUUCUUCAUUCACAAACCCUUUCGAACUCUCUGGAAUCCCUAACUUUCUCCAUACUUUCACUUACCCGCUUCUUCAUAUAAAAUCCAUUCGAACUUAAUUCUACUUGUUGAUCUGAACCCAACUAUUUAUCUCUUCAAUUUGCUUGUUUUAGAAGGAAAAAUUUGUGCUUGAUCUUUUUUGAGUGAAAAUGGAUGAGGACUUUGAUAUUCCGGUAGCUGAUGAGAUGAAUGAUGAAUUUAUGGAUGAUAUUGAAGCUCCGGUGACGUUGAAAGUCGGAGAGGAGAAGGAAAUCGGUAAUCAAGGUUUGAAGAAGAAGCUGCUCAAGGAAGGUGAAGGUUGGGACACACCUGAAAGUGGGGAUGAAGUUGAAGGUAUUGUCGUUGAUUUACGUUUUCUAAUUGUACUGUUUUGUGUCUAAAUCGUAUGAUUGUAUUGAUCGCGACGUGGAUUUGAGUUUGUGACAGUUCAUUAUACUGGAACGUUGCUCGACGGGACUCAGUUUGAUUCAAGUCGUGAUAGGGGAACGCCAUUCAAGUUCACUCUUGGUCAAGGUGAGAUUUUUUUUCUCAAUGAUGAAACUGAUUACAUUCAUUCUUUACAUUCGUGCAUUCAUAUUGAUGUCAAACAUGCAUAGUGUGUAUUUACAACGUUCUUUCUGCAUCCAAAGUAACAUAGUGAUUUGUUCAUUGGUGCUUCUACUCCUGCUUGCUAUGAGUGUAUUAACACUCAUUCUACAGUAUCAUAACGUUACAUUAGGUUAUGGAUCGCAUAAUUAACAUUAUUUUCUUGUGUUAUGUGACAACAGGGCAAGUGAUCAAGGGAUGGGAUCUGGGUAUCAAGACCAUGAAGAAGGGUGAAAAUGCACUUUUCACAAUACCUGCUGAUCUGGCUUAUGGUGAAGCUGGUUCUCCUCCAACAAUCCCUCCCAGUGCUACUCUACAGUUUGAUGUACAACUGCUCUCAUGGGUUAGUGUAAAGGAUAUUUGCAAGGAUGGUGGGAUUUUCAAAAAGAUUGUAAAGGAAGGAGAGAAGUGGGAGAACCCCAAGGACCUCGAUGAAGUUUUAGGUACUUUAUUUAUAUCAACUUUUCAUGUUUAAGAUUCAAUUUCUGCAACUCUUUGUUCACUUCUAAACACGUCCUUUUUUUUGUGUGUAAAUGCAGUCAAUUACGAAGUCCAACUCGAGGAUGGGACUGUAGUUGCAAAAUCAGAUGGAGUGGAGUUCAAAGUAGAAGAUGGUAACUUUAGCACAUAUCUGUUUUCUCGAUUAGCUUUACAAUCUUUUUUGAUUGUUGCUUACAUAUAUGGUUUUGAUCAGGCCAUUUCUGCCCUGCUCUGGCUAAGGCUGUAAAAACAAUGAAGAAAGGGGAAAAAGUCAUACUUACAGUCAAACCAGAAUGUAAGUUUACUGUCAUCUUUGUAAAAACUCUUCGCCUCAACAGCUACAAAGGUCGAUUCACUUAUAAAUUUUCUUGUUGCAGAUGGAUUUGGAGAAAAAGGGAAACCUGAAGGCUCCAUUCCUGCAAAUGCUACACUACAAAUCACACUAGAACUUCUGUCAUGGAAGGUGGUCACAAAUGUUACAGAUGACAAGAAAGUCAUCAAGAAAAUCUUGAAAGAAGGAGAGGGGUAUGAACGCCCGAAUGAAGGAGCUGUUGUUCAGGGUCAGUUGGCUUAUUCGAUUUGAUUCUUUUCUUGAUUCUUUAAAGUUUUUAUAACAUUAUGUCUGAAAUCGCUUCUUGUUUUGAUAACGAACAGUGAAGCUGAUUGGUAAGCUACAAGAUGGUACAUUGUUCAUCAAGAAAGGUCAUGAUGAUUCUGAGCCUUUUGAGUUCAAGGCAGAUGAAGGUAUAUAAACCAUUGGAAAUUCUUUAUAUCUUUUAUUGUUUUAUGUUAUGUAAUCUUAUUUUCAUUAAUCCUCACUUUGGUAUUUGCAUAAACAGAGCAAGUGAUUGAUGGACUUGAUAAAGCUGUGAUGACAAUGAAGAAAGGAGAAGUAGCUCUUCUGACAAUUGCUCCAGAAUAUGCUUUUGGGUCUACUGAUUCAAAGCAAGAAUUAGCAGUGGUUCCCCCUAAUUCCACUGUCACAUAUGAAAUUGAGCUUGUUUCUUUUGUUAAGGUAAGCUGUGCAUAAAGUUUAGUUUUUUAUGAUCAUAUAUUUAAUGUCAACGUUUAUUUAUUUUCAUUUUCAGGACAAAGAAUCAUGGGACAUGACCACGACUCAAGAGAAGAUUGAGGCUGCUGGGAAAAAGAAGGAAGAAGGAAAUGCGUUCUUUAAAGCUGGUAAAUAUUUGAAAGCAGUAAAACGAUAUGAAAAGGUAAAGAUUCAGUUUAAAUAAAGCAGUGGUUUGUGUAAUUGUUUAUGACUAAAUCUGUGUUUUUUGUUUUUUUUUUUUUAACAUUUCCAGGCUGCUAAGUUUAUCGAGUAUGAUACUAAUUUUGAAGAAGAUGAGAAGAAACAAGCAAAAGCAUUGAAGAUUACUUGCAAUCUUAAUAAUGCAGCAUGCCAGUUGAAACUCAAGGAUUACAAACAGGCUGAAAAGCUUUGCACUAAGGUUAUAGAUACAAAUAGAUAAUCCUAUUCACACUUAUUGCUUUUUCUUUUUUCUUUUUUUAUUAAUUUUAUGAUGUUUUAAAAGGUUCUAACAAUGGUCUGGAAACAUGAUCUGUACAGGUUUUGGAACUUGAAAGUACAAAUGUAAAGGCUUUGUACAGAAGGGCUCAAGCUUACAUCAAUGUAGCUGAUCUGGAUCUUGCAGAGAUUGAUGUAAAAAAAGCCCUUGAAAUCGACCCUAAUAACAAGUAGGAAUCCUUUUUUUUUUUUUUUUGACAGUUGGUGAUUUAUUUGAAGCUUAUAGCAAGUGAUGAAUAUGGUUUUAAUGAUGAUAUGAUUAGGGAUGUGAAACAUGAAUAUAAAUUGCUCAAGGAGAAGAUAAAGGAAUACAAUAAGAAGGAUGCUAAAUUUUAUGGAAAUAUGUUUGCCAAGAUGACAAAACCCUCUUCCAAUGUGAGAGCUUUUUGAAAAUAUGUGUAUCUGUUUAUAAAAUAAAAAUCAUAAAAAAAAGGGGUGUAAUGAAUGGUGAUUUGAUUAUGAUUGUGUGCAGAAGGCAGCAGGGACAAAGGAGGCAGAAGAACCAAUGAGCGUAGACAGCAAGGCUUAAUCAUUUAAAAGAUAAAAGAUAAAAGAUGUGUUUAAUGUAAUGUUGUGCCAUAAUAGAGGGGUUUUCUGGUAUUUUUUUUCUUAAUUUUCUAGUGCUCUUAUUUGGUUUUAAUUCUUCAGAUAGUGUGUGUUUGUCUGGAAAAAAAAAGGUAAAAGUUAGUGUGACGACAGUUGAGUUUUAUUUACUUUCUUUUUAUCUUCACAUUUAUGUAGACAAACUGUAUUGGCAUAACAUAAUCUAUUAAAACUUUUAACUUUGUUUUUCUCUUUAAGUUAUUAUAUAAAACAAAACCAUAUGCUCAUUUUACAACCUGAGACAUACUCCCAGCAAGGAACGAAUCUAUAUGCCGGUAACAAUUAAGUUAAAAUGACAAAGAAAGUAAGAAACAAAUAAGAAUGCAUUGUGUACUCUGGACGAACAACAUAUGAAAAGCAAAAAAGCCUCUUUCCUUCACCUUGCUCCCUUUAUUGGUAUGGUUAUUGGAAUGUAGAAAACAAAAAAAAACUCCAAAAAAAUGGACCACAAAUUUGGAUGCAAAGCCUAAAUUCAGAGUAUGUGACCAUCGUCGUUAUUAUUUUGAAUUUUUUUUUAGAGAAAAUUGCAAAUUUAGCCAAAUAUACUAAUUACUUUGUGGAAAAUAGCAAAAAAAAACAUAAAUUACAAAAUUAGUCCUUAAAAUCGCAGAUGGAUUAAGUCCAUUUGCGAUUUUGUAUUUCCAUUUGCGAUUUUGUGUAUUUUAUACAUUUUUUAAAAGAGGUUUUAAACAAAUUUUCCAACGAAAUAACAACAAAAAUGAUAAUUUUUUGAAAAAAAUUAUAUAUAAUAAGUUUGUUUCGUAGUCAAACUCUAUUAAUUUCGUAGUUAAGAAAAACAUAAAAUUGCAGGUGAAAACGAGAGGAAAUCAUAAUUGGACUAUCUCCAUCUACGAUUUUAUGCUGGAAAAGGAGUAUACAGCGAAAAAAAAAUUAAAAAAUAAAAAACCACCUGUGAACGUACAAGUGGAUAAAGCACAGACGUGCUUUAGCCACUUAUACAUUCGCAGAUGGGAAGGCGGAAUCAUAGAUGACUUAUACCCAUCUGCGAUUUUAAUAGCUAAAAAUGCAAUUUUGAAUUUUUUUUUGGUUAUUUUCCACAAAGUAAUUAGUGUAUUUGGUUAAAUUUACAAUUUUUUCUUCUUUUUAUCUUAUCCUUCUUAAAUUUAGAUGUUUUCCCUAUGAAUCUUAAUCAUUCAAAUUAUUUUUUCAAACCUUAGUUUUUAUGGAGAUUUUCAUAAAAGUUUCUUUGAUUCUGAAUUGAAUGCCUAAUAUAUCUAAUUGUGAAACAUCAUAAAAUAUAUAUUUUUUUACUACGAAUCUUAAUUAUCCAAAUUGUGAAACAUCAUAGAGUUUGAAGAUUUUAAAACGCCAAGUAGAUAUGCUGAAAAAAGUGCAUUACGGAACGUGGUGUCAUGUUAGUGGAGAUUGUGGAACAAAUCAUAUAAAAAUUUCCACGUAAGCAAAAGUUUGUAAAAGGUAUGAUUGUCUAGCAAAAACUCAAGCAAGUCAAUGGGCAUACAAGACAACAUCUAAAAGAAAAUUGAAGACAAGUAUAAAAGAAAAUCGAGUGAAAUGAGUUUGAAAGAUGUCGAGAGCAAAGUAAAUUGUUAAACGAAUGAACGUAAAUAAGAAAAUUUGUUAGUCACGAAUUUAAAUGAACCAAUACCAAUAUCAAACAAUUUAAAUGACUCAAUGCCAAUUAAAAAACAGUUAUAACUAUUUCAGUCUUAUGAAAAAAAUCUUCAAAAACAAUAAACGAAUAGUAUAAUUAAAUUUUUACUUUUCAUAUUUUUUUUAUCACAUGUUUGAAAACGUUUGUACUUUUAAUAAAAGUUUAUAAUUUGAUAAGUUUUAUUUAAGCAUGUGUUUGACAAAAUAAUUGAAAAAUUAGUUUUUGUAUUAUUGAGAUAGCUAAAUAAAUAAUAAUGUUUGAUAAAAAUUCCUAUUUAAAGGAGAUAUAAAAUGACAGUUAAAUAUAUAACUAAACCUGAUGAUAAUUUAGAACAACUAAAAUCGAAAAACCAAGAAAAUUGAAAUAACGAAUCACUUAAAAAAAAUAAGAAAAUUUUAACAAAGGAAUGAAAACCAAAAACCAAGUUGUUUAAAAAAAAGAAACAAAACAAUGUGACUAAAAAUCAAAGCGUUUCAAGAAAACAAAAAAAAGAUCAAAAUUAGAGUAAAUGAAAAUUAUUGGUAAUGCUAGUAGUCAUAAAUAAUAAUAAUAAUUUUAGUUACGAUGAAGAAAGUUUCCCUCAAUGUUCUUUGACUUCUUUCCCAUUGGUCCCUCGGAAUCGAAAAGACGCAUCCCACAUCGGCUGCUACUGCAAACGAAACAGCAUAUAUAAAAGAAGCGGAGAGAAGAAGAAGCACGACCUUACUUGAACAGGAUCUGUUCUAUAGGCUCGUACCUCUGUAUUCUUGAUUCCUAAGAAGACAGAAACCCAUGUCUGGUUGAUGAACCACGACCAUGUAACCAGACCGUGAUUAACAGAGUUUCUUAUGGUCCCGACCACGGCUCAGUAGAUGAUCGUUGCCUGCUCAUCUGAUGAUGGGUCUUGGCAUGGCUACAUGGUUGUCUGACAGACAAUGCACUUUCUUUUUUGAUUACCAUUUUUGAGACGCAAAGCAACCGUUUGAUGAAAUGUCUGAAAGGCGCUCCUACUAAUUAUUGCUAGACAACUAAACUUUCUUAUGGGUUCUAUAAGUUGUGAUUUUACAUGGGAAAUGUCAAAACUCAGAGAUGCAAAUCAAGUGUUCGAUGAAUUGCCUGAAGGAGAUUAUGUUUCUUCUUUCUUGGGUCAGCUUAUGACUCAUCUUAAUUUGUUCUCCUAGCUCAACUGGACUGAGUGGCUUCUUAUUCGGUUCAGUCGAAAGAUUGCUUCUCAGAUUUCAGAAAUAAACCACUACAAAAUCUUGUUCAACAAGCGAACCUUAAGCUGAUGUUAGCUAAUAUGUAGAUGCAUAUAUUGAAGGAUGCAUGCCUGGUUGACAUUUUGAUGUAUUUAUAUAUAUGAUCACGUUGAUUGCUUAUACUUAAAUGGACCAAAGAAAUUU
RNAcentral lists this long non-coding RNA (31859 nucleotides) under Lactuca sativa (garden lettuce). RNAcentral's name for it is "long non-coding RNA (LSAT_LNC009157)". The stretch from base 31174 to 31391 matches the Rfam family "Plant small nucleolar RNA U3". Lineage: Eukaryota; Viridiplantae; Streptophyta; Magnoliopsida; Asterales; Asteraceae. The record is from RNAcentral.